GUAGGUGGCAAGCGUUGUCCGGAAUUAUUGGGCGUAAAGCGCGCGCAGGCGGUCCUUUAAGUCUGAUGUGAAAGCCCACGGCUCAACCGUGGAGGGUCAUUGGAAACUGGGGGACUUGAGUACAGAAGAGGAAAGCGGAAUUCCAAGUGUAGCGGUGAAAUGCGUAGAGAUUUGGAGGAACACCAGUGGCGAAGGCGGCUUUCUGGUCUGUAACUGACGCUGAGGCGCGAAAGCGUGGGGAGCAAACAGGGAUUAGAUACCCUGGUAGUCCACGCCGUAAAUGAUGAGUGCUAGGUGUUAGGGGGUUUCCGCCCCCUUAGUGCUGCAGCUAACGCAUUAAGCACUCCGCCUGGGGAGUACGGCCGCAAGGCUG
RNAcentral lists this ribosomal RNA (373 nucleotides) under uncultured organism. RNAcentral's name for it is "partial 16S ribosomal RNA". It matches the Rfam family "Bacterial small subunit ribosomal RNA", at positions 527 to 896 of the family's 1533-position model. The record is from RNAcentral.